GUUGUGCACUCGAACGGCGCAUAAAGCGUUCUCGUCUGUUCCCAAUACGCGGAGUAUUCGGAGAUGUCAGGAAGUUCCAAUUUGGUAUCUAGUAAAUUGAGAUCAGCGUUAUGCAGCAAAAGAAUUAAUGUUAAAUUUAAAUGAAGAAUAAGAAAUGUUGAUUUAUGAUACAA
Long non-coding RNA from Ooceraea biroi (clonal raider ant), 173 nucleotides. RefSeq lists it as uncharacterized. The record is from RefSeq and is a predicted model, not a curated record. Lineage: Eukaryota; Metazoa; Arthropoda; Insecta; Hymenoptera; Formicidae.